Molecule: ribosomal RNA, 468 nt
Filed under: uncultured bacterium
Lineage: Bacteria
Description: partial 16S ribosomal RNA
Rfam family: Bacterial small subunit ribosomal RNA
Source: RNAcentral
GACGAACGCUGGCGGCGUGCUUAACACAUGCAAGUCGAACGGAAAGGCCCUGCUUUUGUGGGGUGCCCGAGUGGCGAACGGGUGAGUAACACGUGAGUACCUUGCCUUUGACUUUGGGAUAACUUCAGGAAACUGGGGCUAAUACCGGAUAGGAGCUCUUGCUGCAGGGUGGGGGUUGGAAAGUUUCGGCGGUUGGGGAUGGACUCGCGGCUUAUCAGCUUGUUGGUGGGGUAGUGGCUUACCAAGGCUUUGACGGGUAGCCGGCCUGAGAGGGUGACCGGCCACAUUGGGACUGAGAUACGGCCCAGACUCCUACGGGAGGCAGCAGUGGGGAAUAUUGCACAAUGGGCGGAAGCCUGAUGCAGCAACGCCGCGUGCGGGAUGACGGCCUUCGGGUUGUAAACCGCUUUCGCCUGUGACGAAGCGUGAGUGACGGUAAUGGGUAAAGAAGCACCGGCUAACUACGUG